Molecule: non-coding RNA, 288 nt
Organism: Pelobates cultripes (western spadefoot toad)
Lineage: Eukaryota; Metazoa; Chordata; Amphibia; Anura; Pelobatidae
Source: the annotation of a GenBank genome assembly
GGAGAUGGCAGGCGCCGGCUGAAGAGACCGGAAAUAGGGGUGCUGUGACCCGGACAGCAGCCCCACGGAGAUGGGAGUCCCCAGGACCAGGCUGUUCAAGGGGUGCUGCGGAUCAGGUGGCAGCCCCAAGGUUGCAGGGCUGCCAGGAUGCCGGCGGUCGGGAGGCCGUGUCGGUUGCAGCCCCCCUGGGAGCUGGGAGGCUCCAGGGUGAUUCCGGAGAGGAGGAGGAGUCCGAGGAGGAGCGUGAAGCUGAUGGAGAACGGCCCCUGCGCCUCCCCUCAUUUGGUG